Molecule: unclassified non-coding RNA, 314 nt
Filed under: Hevea brasiliensis (rubber tree)
Lineage: Eukaryota; Viridiplantae; Streptophyta; Magnoliopsida; Malpighiales; Euphorbiaceae
Source: RNAcentral
AAAAAAUGAAACGGGAUAUUUGGUUACUAGAAAAUCACUUUAAGAAGAGCAUAUCAAAACAAUGCCUAAGCAAUUAAUAGCAAGUGGUAUCACAUGUAAUAACAGUUUUUGAAAAUAACUAAUGGUGAGACAUCGCCUCAUAUCGAACAAAAGGGGUGAAAAUAAUAUUGGAGGAUCUUUUUUGAAACUGACAUAUUAUUAUUGGAGGAUCUUUGCUUUAUAAUUUAACUAAACUUGAAAUAAAACUGAAAAACCCUGUAACAGACUAAAGAAGACGCAAAAUGGCUUUCACACAAAACAAAAAAAGGAGAAAG